RNAcentral lists this ribosomal RNA (859 nucleotides) under Serratia sp. (in: enterobacteria). Its description in RNAcentral is "bacterial SSU rRNA". It matches the Rfam family "Bacterial small subunit ribosomal RNA", at positions 329 to 1182 of the family's 1533-position model. Lineage: Bacteria; Pseudomonadati; Pseudomonadota; Gammaproteobacteria; Enterobacterales; Yersiniaceae. The record is from RNAcentral.
GUCCAGACUCCUACGGGAGGCAGCAGUGGGGAAUAUUGCACAAUGGGCGCAAGCCUGAUGCAGCCAUGCCGCGUGUGUGAAGAAGGCCUUCGGGUUGUAAAGCACUUUCAGCGAGGAGGAAGGUGGUGAGCUUAAUACGUUCAUCAAUUGACGUUACUCGCAGAAGAAGCACCGGCUAACUCCGUGCAGCAGCCGCGGUAAUACGGAGGGUGCGAGCGUUAAUCGGAAUUACUGGGCGUAAAGCGCACGCAGGCGGUUUGUUAAGUCAGAUGUGAAAUCCCCGGGCUCAACCUGGGAACUGCAUUUGGAACUGGCAAGCUAGAGUCUCGUAGAGGGGGGUAGAAUUCCAGGUGUAGCGGUGAAAUGCGUAGAGAUCUGGAGGAAUACCGGUGGCGAAGGCGGCCCCCUGGACGAAGACUGACGCUCAGGUGCGAAAGCGUGGGGAGCAAACAGGAUUAGAUACCCUGGUAAUCCACGCUGUAAACGAUGUCGAUUUGGAGGUUGUGCCCUUGAGGCGUGGCUUCCGGAGCUAACGCGUUAAAUCGACCGCCUGGGGAGUACGGCCGCAAGGUUAAAACUCAAAUGAAUUGACGGGGGCCCGCACAAACGGUGGAGCAUGUGGUUUAAUUCGAUGCAACGCGAAGAACCUUACCUACUCUUGACAUCCAGAGAACUUUCCAGAGAUGGAUUGGUGCCUUCGGGAACUCUGAGACAGGUGCUGCAUGGCUGUCGUCAGCUCGUGUUGUGAAAUGUUGGGUUAAGUCCCGCAACGAGCGCAACCCUUAUCCUUUGUUGCCGGCGGUUCGGCCGGGAACUCAAAGGAGACUGCCAGUGAUAAACUGGAGGAAGGUGGGGAUGA